UACGUAGGGGCCUAGCGUUGUCCGGAAUUAUUGGGCGUAAAGAGCUCGUAGGCGGUUCGGCAAGUCGGAUGUGAAAUCUCCACGCUUAACGUGGAGGGGCCAUUCGAAACUGCCGUGACUCGAGUCCGGUAGGGGAGUGUGGAAUUCCUGGUGUAGCGGUGAAAUGCGCAGAUAUCAGGAGGAACACCGAUGGCGAAGGCAGGUCUCUGGGCCACUACUGACGCUGAGAAGCGAAAGCAUGGGGAGCGAACAGG
RNAcentral lists this ribosomal RNA (254 nucleotides) under uncultured bacterium. RNAcentral describes it as "partial 16S ribosomal RNA". It matches the Rfam family "Bacterial small subunit ribosomal RNA", at positions 524 to 776 of the family's 1533-position model. The record is from RNAcentral.